RNAcentral lists this ribosomal RNA (1761 nucleotides) under human gut metagenome. RNAcentral's name for it is "bacterial LSU rRNA". It matches the Rfam family "Bacterial large subunit ribosomal RNA", at positions 1127 to 2925 of the family's 2925-position model. The record is from RNAcentral.
AGAGUGCGUAAUAGCUCACUAGUCGAGAGGUCCUGCGCCGAAAAUGUCCGGGGCUAAAACACGACACCGAAGCUGUGGAUCCGAAAGGAUGGUAGAGGAGCAUUCUUAAGUCGACGAAGCUGUACUGUAAGGAGCAGUGGAGAGUUAAGAAGAGAGAAUGCCGGAAUGAGUAGCGAGAUUUAAGUGAGAAUCUUAAAGGCCGAAUAUCUAAGGUUUCCAGGGUAAAGCUGAUCUUCCCUGGGUAAGUCGGGGCCUAAGGCGAGGGCGAGAGCCGUAGUCGAUGGAUAACAGGUUGAAAUUCCUGUACUGCUUAUGGACAGAACUGUGGGGACGCAGAAGGAGAGCACGAGCCGGAAAUGGAAAAGCCGGUACAAGCGUAUAGCAGUCAUGCAGGCAAAACCGCAUGAAAAAUGUAAAGCGUUAUGUGGAUCGAACAUUAGUAGAGAAGCGUGUGAGCCAGCUGCCAAGAAAAGCCGCUAUUGUUUCAUAAGUACCCGUACCGUAAACCGACACAGGUGGAUGAGGAGAGAAUCCUAAGGCCGGCGGGAGAAGUGUUGUUAAGGAACUCGGCAAAAUGACUCCGUAACUUCGGGAGAAGGAGUGCCACAGAGAUGUGGCCGCAGAGAAAUGGCCCAAGCAACUGUUUAGCAAAAACACAGGUCUAUGCAAAACCGAAAGGUGAGGUAUAUGGGCUGACGCCUGCCCGGUGCUGGAAGGUUAAGAGGAGAGGUUAGCGCAAGCGAAGCUUUGAAUUUAAGCCCCAGUAAACGGCGGCCGUAACUAUAACGGUCCUAAGGUAGCGAAAUUCCUUGUCGGGUAAGUUCCGACCCGCACGAAAGGCGUAAUGAUUUGGGCACUGUCUCGACAAUGCACCCGGUGAAAUUGAAAUACCAGUGAAGAUGCUGGUUACCUGCGCCAGGACGGAAAGACCCCAUGGAGCUUUACUCCAGUUUGAUACUGGGAUUCGGUACUGUCUGUACAGGAUAGGUGGGAGGCUAGGAAAUGGUGACGCCAGUUGCCAUGGAGCCAACCUUGGGAUACCACCCUUACAGUACUGGGUUUCUAACCUGCAGCCGUAACCCGGCUGGGGGACAAUGUCUGACGGGGAGUUUGACUGGGGCGGUCGCCUCCGAAAGAGUAUCGGAGGCGCUCAAAGGUUCCCUCAGAACGGUUGGAAACCGUUCGAAGAGUGCAAAGGCAGAAGGGAGCUUGACUGCGACACCGACGGGUGGAGCAGGUACGAAAGUAGGACUUAGUGAUCCGGUGGUAUAAAGUGGGAUUGCCAUCGCUCAACGGAUAAAAGCUACCCUGGGGAUAACAGGCUUAUCACUCCCAAGAGUUCACAUCGACGGAGUGGUUUGGCACCUCGAUGUCGGCUCAUCGCAUCCUGGAGCUGUAGCAGGUUCCAAGGGUUGGGCUGUUCGCCCAUUAAAGCGGUACGCGAGCUGGGUUCAGAACGUCGUGAGACAGUUCGGUCCCUAUCCGGCGUGGGCGUAGGAUAUUUGAGAGGAGCUGUCCUUAGUACGAGAGGACCGGGAUGGACAAACCUCUGGUGUAUCUGUUGUUUUACCAAAGGCAUGGCAGAGUAGCCAAGUUUGGCAGGGAUAAACGCUGAAGGCAUCUAAGCGUGAAGCCCCCCUCAAGAUAAGAUAUCCCAUCUUCGGAGUAAGACCCCUUGAAGACUACAAGGUUGAUAGGCUUCAGGUGUAAGUGUGGUAACGCACUCAGCUGAGAAGUACUAAUAGGUCGAGGACUUAUCCU